GGCUUCGUGGUCGAGUGGUAAGGACAUUUGCCUCCCAUCCUGAAGUUCUGGGUUUGAUUCCCGGUUGAGGAGCUA
Rhamnusium bicolor is the source of this 75-nucleotide non-coding RNA. NCBI's taxonomy places the organism in Eukaryota, Metazoa, Arthropoda, Insecta, Coleoptera, Cerambycidae. The record is from the annotation of a GenBank genome assembly.